This 1337-nucleotide ribosomal RNA is filed under the name uncultured fungus. RNAcentral describes it as "eukaryotic LSU rRNA". The stretch from base 651 to 1337 matches the Rfam family "Eukaryotic large subunit ribosomal RNA", at positions 1 to 667 of the family's 3401-position model. Lineage: Eukaryota; Fungi. The record is from RNAcentral.
CUUGGUCAUUUAGAGGAAGUAAAAGUCGUAACAAGGUUUCCGUAGGUGAACCUGCGGAAGGAUCAUUAACGAAACUUCAAAGUCGGCUUGUUCUGUUCUGUGCUGGUGGGAGACCACAUUGUGCACGUCGGAUCAAGUCGCAAAUCCACACACACCUGUGCAUCUUAUGACUCUGAGUACCGCUUUGCGUGGCCCCUCACCGGGCCUGGUAUUCGAGUAACUUUUACACACUCUGAAUGUAAUGGAAUGUCUAUUGUGCAUAAUGUACAACUAAAAACAACUUUCAACAACGGAUCUCUUGGCUCUCGCAUCGAUGAAGAACGCAGCGAAAUGCGAUAAGUAAUGUGAAUUGCAGAAUUUAGUGAAUCAUCGAAUCUUUGAACGCACCUUGCACCCUUUGGUAUUCCGAAGGGUACACCCGUUUGAGUGUCAUUGUAAUCUCACCUCUUCGACUUUUUAUGGUUGACCUGUGUGGACUUGGAUGUUGCCGUGUAACAAACGGCUCAUCUGAAAUGCCUGAGUGUACCCUGCUUUGCAGCGUAUUCGGUGUGAUAAAUCUUCACCGGAGUUUCGACUUUUUGGUCGGCGCUUGUAUUGUUUUGGCUCUAUGCUUCGAACCGUCCCUAACAAGGACAAUAACUCUGACAAUUUGACCUCAAAUCGGGUGGGACUACCCGCUGAACUUAAGCAUAUCAAUAAGCGGAGGAAAAGAAACUAACAAGGAUUCCCCUAGUAACGGCGAGUGAAGAGGGAAAAGCUCAAAUUUUGAAUCUGGUGUCUUUGGCGCCCGAGUUGUAAUCUAGAGAAGUGUUUUCCGCUUUGGACCGUGUACAAGUUCCCUGGAACGGGGCGUCAUAGAGGGUGAGAAUCCCGUAUAUGGCACGGACUACCAAUGCUCUGUGAUACACUCUCAACGAGUCGAGUUGUUUGGGAAUGCAGCUCAAAAUGGGUGGUAAAUUCCAUCUAAAGCUAAAUAUUGGCGAGAGACCGAUAGCGAACAAGUACCGUGAGGGAAAGAUGAAAAGCACUUUGGAAAGAGAGUGAAACAGUACGUGAAAUUGUUGAAAGGGAAGCGUUUGAAGUCAGUCAUAUCUGGCGGGAUUCAUCCUGGCUUUUGCCUGGUGUACUUUCCGUCCGAUGGGUCAGCAUCAAUUUUGACCGAGGGAAAAAGACGUUCGGAAUGUGGCUGUCUUUGGGCAGUGUUAUAGCCUUGCGUUGUAUGUCUCGGUUGGGAUUGAGGAAUGCAGCGCGCCUAUAGGCCGGGGGCUCGCUCCUCUCGACACGUGCUUAGGAUGCUGGCAUAAUGGCUUUAAGCGACCCGUCUUGAAACACGGACC